UACAGGGGGUGCAAACGUUGCUCGGAAUCAUUGGGCGUAAAGCGCACGUAGGCGGUUCGUUAUGUCGGAUGUGAAAGCCCUUGGCUUAACCGAGGAAGUGCAUCCGAAACUGGCGAGCUAGAGUACGAAAGAGGAUCGCGGAAUUCCCGGUGUAGAGGUGAAAUUCGUAGAUAUCGGGAGGAACACCGGUGGCGAAGGCGGCGAUCUGGGUCGAUACUGACGCUGAGGUACGAAAGCGUGGGGAGCAAACAGGG
This 254-nucleotide ribosomal RNA is filed under the name uncultured bacterium. RNAcentral's name for it is "partial 16S ribosomal RNA". It matches the Rfam family "Bacterial small subunit ribosomal RNA", at positions 524 to 777 of the family's 1533-position model. The record is from RNAcentral.